Molecule: non-coding RNA, 229 nt
Organism: Pelobates cultripes (western spadefoot toad)
Lineage: Eukaryota; Metazoa; Chordata; Amphibia; Anura; Pelobatidae
Source: the annotation of a GenBank genome assembly
GAAGCGCCUGUGCAUUGUAUGUAGUAACGCGAGUGCUUUCCGUGUGCCGUCAGCUCCCUGUCUGCUUCGUACAAAGCCAACUUGGUCUGAGUGUACUAUGGUCGGCAGUAUAGAUGUCAUUCUAUUGGCAUAGAUUUUGGCCAGGAUCUUCACGUCCGAAUUCAAUAAGGAGAUCGGUCUGAAAUUCGCGCAUUGGGUUGGUGAUUUGCCAGGUUUGGGCAGGGUGGCC